This 253-nucleotide ribosomal RNA is filed under the name uncultured bacterium. RNAcentral describes it as "partial 16S ribosomal RNA". It matches the Rfam family "Bacterial small subunit ribosomal RNA", at positions 524 to 776 of the family's 1533-position model. The record is from RNAcentral.
UACAGAGGUCUCAAGCGUUGUUCGGAUUCAUUGGGCGUAAAGGGUGCGUAGGCGGCGGGGUAAGUCGGAUGUGAAAUCCCGGGGCUCAACCCCGGAACUGCAUUCGAUACUGCUCUGCUAGAGUACUGGAGAGGAGACUGGAAUUUACGGUGUAGCAGUGAAAUGCGUAGAUAUCGUAAGGAAGACCAGUGGCGAAGGCGAGUCUCUGGACAGUUACUGACGCUGAGGCACGAAGGCCAGGGGAGCAAACGGG